RNAcentral lists this ribosomal RNA (603 nucleotides) under uncultured freshwater bacterium. Its description in RNAcentral is "bacterial SSU rRNA". It matches the Rfam family "Bacterial small subunit ribosomal RNA", at positions 8 to 607 of the family's 1533-position model. The record is from RNAcentral.
AGAGUUUGAUCCUGGCUCAGAUUGAACGCUGGCGGCAUGCCUUACACAUGCAAGUCGAACGGUAACGCGGGGCAACCUGGCGACGAGUGGCGAACGGGUGAGUAAUACAUCGGAACGUGCCCAGUUAGUGGGGGAUAGCCCGGCGAAAGCCGGAUUAAUACCGCAUACGACCUACGGGUGAAAGCGGGGGACCGCAAGGCCUCGCGCUAUUGGAGCGGCCGAUGUCAGAUUAGGUAGUUGGUGGGGUAAAGGCCUACCAAGCCUGCGAUCUGUAGCUGGUCUGAGAGGACGACCAGCCACACUGGGACUGAGACACGGCCCAGACUCCUACGGGAGGCAGCAGUGGGGAAUUUUGGACAAUGGGCGCAAGCCUGAUCCAGCCAUGCCGCGUGCGGGAAGAAGGCCUUCGGGUUGUAAACCGCUUUUGUCAGGGAAGAAAUCCUUUGGGCUAAUACCCUGAAGGGAUGACGGUACCUGAAGAAUAAGCACCGGCUAACUACGUGCCAGCAGCCGCGGUAAUACGUAGGGUGCAAGCGUUAAUCGGAAUUACUGGGCGUAAAGCGUGCGCAGGCGGUUGUGCAAGACAGGUGUGAAAUCCCCGGG